RNAcentral lists this ribosomal RNA (90 nucleotides) under uncultured bacterium. RNAcentral's name for it is "partial 16S ribosomal RNA". The record is from RNAcentral.
CACCGCCCGUCACACCAUGGGAGUGGAAUGCAGCUGAAAUUGCCGGGAGCUGAAAGGCAGGUACUUAGGUUGUGCUUCAUGACUGGGGUG